GGACGACGGUCACUCUGGAGUGAGUCUUCCUGUUGGAUGACGGUCACUCUAGAAUGAGUCUUCCUGUUGGACAACGGUCACUCUAGAAUGAGUCUUCCCUUUGGAUAAUGGUCACUCUGGAGUGAGACAUCCUGGGUGAGGUUCACUGUCUUCUGGUUUCCAUUUCUUCCUCCUUCCUGAUUUUCAUCUUCAUUUUGCUGCAGAACUUCCUUAGCAGGUGAGAGAGAACUUCCUUUCCAAGUGCAAAGAAGGUAGAUGUUCUGAAAACUUGCAUGUCAGAAAAUUUCCUUCGUUUGGCUUGCUAUGGAAUUUUGGCUACAGAGAUUUUUCCAUAUGUGAAGACAUUCCUCUAUUGGCCUAUAUCAUUGUGUUGCUGGUGAAAAAUCUCCCAAUCUAUUUCUCAUCCCUUUUUAGUUGAGCUAAUCAUGAUGACCUAACUUUAUCUUUUCUCUUGGCACUUCCAAUAUCUUUGCUCCAUCCUUAAUAUUCCAAAAUUUCACAAGAUUGUGUCUAGAUGUAGGUUGUAUGGGGGUGUUCUCAAUUUGGAGACUUAGUUAUUUCUGUUCAAUUGUUUUUUUCUUCACAACAUUUUCUAUGUUCUCUCUUCUAGACACUCCUAAUAGUUAGAUACUGAUUGUCUAUGUCUUUUCUCCUCCCUCUCUUUAUAUUUCUUAUUUCCUUUUGCUCCACAUCUGAGAAGAUUCCCUCAAUUUUAUCUUAGAAUCUGUCUACUAAAUAUUUUUGGCAGCCUUAUUUCAGUUUGAGGGUUCUUAUUUUCAAGGUUUUUCUUUUGUAGCAUCCUGUUUUUAACCUUACAGAUGCACCUCACAUCUCUCCAAAGAUACAGAUAUCUUAAGUCAUUUUUCCCAUGUUAACUCUGUUUCCCCCAGAAUUUGUUAAGUCUCUUUGGGGUUAUGUGUCCAGAUCAGCUUAUAUUCUGCCUGCAAGGAGCUGUACUCUUUCAUUAUUGUGUCUUCCACUUUCUCUCUUCCAGGAAUGUGUUGAGAUCUUCUUCACUUACAACCAAAUUCCUUCAGUUUUCUUUGCUGAGAUGAGUCAAUUCUCUUUUAUGUUUCUUGACUUCAGUUUCAGUGGGGCCUGGGGAAGGAGGGAAGUAAACUUACAUGUUCAGUUCAUCAUCUUAAAUUCAAAAUCCCGCCGGAAGCUUUUAGACAGGGCAGUGACAUGGACAACUUGA
RNAcentral lists this long non-coding RNA (1198 nucleotides) under Capra hircus (goat). RNAcentral describes it as "lncRNA (ENSCHIG00010001414.1)". The record is from RNAcentral. Lineage: Eukaryota; Metazoa; Chordata; Mammalia; Artiodactyla; Bovidae.